Molecule: non-coding RNA, 389 nt
Organism: Meleagris gallopavo (turkey)
Lineage: Eukaryota; Metazoa; Chordata; Aves; Galliformes; Phasianidae
Source: the annotation of a RefSeq genome assembly
UGAUGGCGGCCGUGAUGUUGGACGAGUCCGGGGGCGGCCUCCAGACGCCCGGAGGAAGCCUCACCCUCGUCUGCAAGGCCUCCGGAUUCACCUUCAGCAGUUUUGGCAUGGGAUGGGUGCGACAGGCACCCGGCAAGGGGCUGGAGUCAGUCGCAGCUAUUAGCGGUGAUGGUAGUGGCACAGGCUACGCGUCGGCGGUGAAGGGCCGUGCCACCAUCUCGAGGGACAAUGGGCAGAACACACUGAGGCUGCAGCUGAACAGCCUCAAGGCUGAGGACAGCGCCACCUACUACUGCGCGAAAGAAUCUGGUGCUGGUGGUGGUGCUGGUGCUCCUGAAGCUGGUGAGAUCGACAGCGUCAGGGAUUUUCCUGCUGCCACCCACUCUCAG